Molecule: long non-coding RNA, 1939 nt
Filed under: Podarcis lilfordi (Lilford's wall lizard)
Lineage: Eukaryota; Metazoa; Chordata; Lepidosauria; Squamata; Lacertidae
Source: RNAcentral
GCACGACUAAACCACUUCUGGCACACGGAACACCAUGACAAGUGCCAGAGCGCACGGAAACGCUAUUUACCUUCCCGCCGCAGUGGUACCUAUUUGUCUACUCAUGCUGGUGUGCUUUUGAACUGCUAGGUUGGCAGGAGCUGGGACAGAGCAACAGCUCACCCCACUGUGCGGAUUCGAACUGUCGACCUUUCAGCAAGCGCAAGAGGCUCGUGGUUUGGACCACAGCGCCACCCGCAUCCAACUGCGCAGGUAAGCUGUAGUGAGGCUGGUGUCAGGAGGGUGACUCUGAUCCACUACACCAGCUGCUACGCAGCCCAGCAGUGCUCCUUUCCUCGAAUAACAAGUGCUGCGUGGCUCUCAAAUCUCUCAGUAAAACGUAGCCUUAGAAGUAGAACGGAAAUGAAUCGGUUGCUCCCUCCCACCGCAAUUCUCUUCAGAGGUCUCACUUUAUGGCUUUUGAUGGCAAAUAUAAUAUUCUCUAAAUAUUCUCCAGAUAUUAAUAUAUUCAACGACUGUUUGAAGUACAGAACAUCGGCAUCUGAUACUUUGCACUAGCGUACAGAGCCAGCUUUUCUCUGCUCAAAUUGAAACACUCUGAAAAGCAGUCAAACAGCUUUGCAUUCUCUCGCCUGGGGGAAGCUUUGGGGUGGGGUGGCGGUGGGGGGAGGAGGAGGGGAGGAGAAUGUAUCUGGGUUUAAUACAGAGUUCACCAGGUUUUUUAGUAUUUUUGUUUAUACAUUUCAUUAAUUUUACAAUCAUUUUAACAUUUUCAAAGCUUGAUUUCCUUCCCCCUCUUUUUGCAACUCCUUAAAUUUAUUUUUAAAUAUCUUCUGCAUAUCCAAAUUCAUUUCAUUUGCUCAUUUAAUUAUCUACUUUAAAUAUAUACUCUUAUGAAGCUGUAGGUUGUUACAGUAAUCCUGCCAAUCUGCUUGCAAUUUACCUGUAAAUAUUCAAUAAACCAUUUCCAUUCUUAUAUAAAAAGAAUGUUAACUCGGUUUCUUAUUCUUCUGGCAAGUUUCGCCAUUUCUGCAUAUUCCAUAAGUUUUUGUAUCCAUUCUUCCUUUUCUUGGGCUUCUGCUUCUUUCCAUUUUGGGGCAAGUCACAUUCUUGCCGCUGUAGUCGCAUACAUAAAUAAAUUUCUAUACAAUUUAGGUAGUUCUGUCCCUAUAAUUCCCAAAAGAAAAGCUUCUGGUUUUUUUUACAAAGGUUAUUUUGAACAUCCUUUUCAAUUCAUUAUACAUGAUUUCCUAGUAAGCUUUAACCUUACUACAAGACCACCCCAUAUGAUAAAAAGAACCUUCUUUCUCUUUACAUUUCCAACACUUGUUUGAUUUAGAUUUACACAUUUUUGCCAGUUUACUCGGUGUUAGAUACCAACAAUAUAUCACUUUCAUGUAAUUUUCUCUUAAACCAUAACAUGCUGAGAAUUUUAUAUCCCUAUUCCACAAUCAUUCCCAUGCUUCUAUGUCUAUAUUAUAAGCAGUAUCUAUUGCCCAGUGUAUCAUUGAGGAUUUUACUUGCUCAUCCUUUGUCUCCCAUUCCAACACUAUUUUAUGCAUUUUAGACAACACUUUUACAUUCCAUUCCAACAGGUUGUGAUAUUUGUUCCCCAAACCCUCAUAUCCUGUCUUUCUUAAAUACUUCAUUAAAAUGAUGAUAUUGUAACCAUGUUGUUGAUUUCCCUGACAAUUCCUUAAAUUCUUUCAAUUAAUACUCUCCUCUCUCUGAUAGCACCACUGUUGAGAGGGGAAGACAUUGGAGGCUGGUGCCUUUGGGGAAGGAGGGCUGACAGUAGGUGGAGCCAGAGAGCCAAUGGCAGGCAGAACCCACUUAUUCUAAUGUAGUCCCCGUCCUCCUCCCUGCUUCUUCUACAAGGGGCAACACUGAAACGGAGGAUGAGGAAGCUGAGAGGCAGCCCUACCCCCUGGAAUGAUGG